Molecule: long non-coding RNA, 2233 nt
Filed under: Panax ginseng (ginseng)
Lineage: Eukaryota; Viridiplantae; Streptophyta; Magnoliopsida; Apiales; Araliaceae
Description: long non-coding RNA (PGIN_LNC003830)
Source: RNAcentral
UGUGCGUGCAAGAGACUUACUAAUAAAAUGGAGAGGGAGAUGAUGGGAAGGAAAAGCCCUUGGGGAUAAUGGAAGUAGCCUUCAGCCUCACUGGAAUUGUUCCCCACCAUUCCUAAUUAUAUUUGGUAGCCCAACCAUUCCUUCUUUACAUGCUUCAACCUUUUAAAAAAAACAAUAAUCUUCAUUAAUAUGCAAGCAAUGAUCAGCUCAACCUUAUAGAAAUAGAAAUUUAUGUUCGUUAAUUCAGUACUCAUUUAUAAAAUUGCAAAUGACUAUAUAUAAGGUAAUUUUACACUUGUAUAUAUAUAUUCAAGAGAGUAUUUUAACAAGUGCUAAUUAAAGACUGAAAAAUUAAGUCUUCACAAGAACACUGAUUUAUAGACGUAAAGCAUGCCAAAUUCAGUUAGUUUAAUUAUAAAGUCAAAACGCGGCGACAGAACCAAAGCAAAUCUUAAUUUGACUUUUAAUUAAGUGACUUUAUUUUAAUCUAAUAUUAAUUCCUACUACUAGUUGAAAAAAGCUAAUUGAUUCAUAUUUUAUUUUAUUUUAUUAGUUGAGGUCUAACAGCAACAUCACUUUGAGUCAUAUAAUUUGGUGGCCUGCAACUCUAAAUUUUGACUUUAAGAUUAAUAUAUAUAGAUUGAUGAAAAUUAAGUCAAAUCUAUUGUUGAUUGUAUGUUAUAUUUGUUGAUAGCUACAGCAUAACCUGUGGUCCUAACAGAGAUACCCCUUCUUUUUUAAUUUCUUUCUUCUUUUUUUUUUUUGGAUGAAAGAGAUGCCUCUUGAUUGUGUAUGUUAUAGUAUGUGAAUACUACUAUUAGAGAUACAUUUUUAUUUUCAAUUUAUUUAAAAAUUACAAUUACGUUUAUAUUUUUAAAUUAUAAAGUCAAUUUAACAUGUCAUUACUUAUACUAUAUAUUGGGUUAGUUAAGCUAUAGCACCAUUACUAUAUUUCUAACAAAUGUCACGAAUAAACAUUACAAAUUUUCUUUAAAAUUGUUAUUUUAUAAAUGUAAACCAAGAAAGAUAAUAUGUUUAUGUGUAUAUAUAUAAUUAUGAGUAUCUGCAGUUGGAUAUAUAAAUAGCAAAAAAGUGCUAAAGUAGAAGCUUAAGGCUUUAAAAAGAAAGUUGGUUACAUAAGCAUUUACUAUUAUUGACAAAGAAACACAGCUAAUGGUAAUCAAAGAAACUGUGCUAUUUUUAGAAAGUCUGACAAAUCCUUAAGAUCUGCAGCAUCUUCAGAUAGAGCUUUUUUAAAUUGCUAUCAUAAUCCAUGAAUUGGUGUCUGCACACGCGUUCUUUAUGGGUCAACUUCAUACCGGCUAUAUAUUUUACUAAACUCUUGGUCAUAGGUUCACUAAAAUGUUUUAUUUCUAUUUUUUUUUUCAGAAAAAAAAACCUAAUUUAAAAAGUUGUAUAAAUUUAUUUAAAUUCAAAAUAAUAAAUAUUACAAUUAAUAUAACUUUAUACAAAUUAAAAUAUUCGCAAUUGUCUUGACUAAAAAAACUAAAUAUCGUGCAUAAUUAUUAAAUGAGAACUGAUAUUUUUAUAUGUAUUUUUGAUAUUUUCACAUGGUCCUCUCUCACAUAAACAUACAAUGGGUCGCAUCUCUAUGUGAGAAUGAACCAUAUAGAAAUAUCAAAAACACAUGAAAAUAGUGUUCCCCUUCCCCGAUGAAACCUAAAAUAUUACAUGCGGGUCACUUAAAUGUAUUUAAUUGAUGUUUUUUUAUUACAAAAUUCAAAAUUAAAAUAUAACAUUACUAACAAAAAAAAACUGUUGGAAAGAAUAAUUUUCCUUUCACAAAUCUUUAACAUGUCUAUAAAAACCAAAUAAAACUCUCAUUUUUUAAGAAAUCAAAGAAUCUAUUUUAAUGAUUAGUUUUUUUCAAAGUAUUACCUCUUGAGUUCAAGUUUUCAAAAAGAUACUUUAUUUUAAACCAUAUAAACCUAGUUUUCCAUAAUUCAAAAUUUUAGAUUACGGUACAUGUCAAAAUGAUACGGUGGCUAAGAAUAUAAAUAAAUAAAAAAAAAAAAUUCACAUCAACAGUGAGCGAGGAGAAAAAAUUAUGUAAAAAUAUCAUAUUUUUUUUCAUUUGAAAUUAAAUAUAUUAUCCAAAAUUAUUUUAAAACAUGACAUUUUUUCGGGAACAAGAGUAUCAGGUAAGAAAACUCACGCAGUUUAAAAAGGAGCGUGGAGCAGAGGAGGCAUCUUUGUGUGGCGUCUGUUUGCG